AAUAUUGGACAAUGGGCGAAAGCCUGAUCCAGCCAUGCCGCGUGUGUGAAGAAGGUCUUCGGAUUGUAAAGCACUUUAAGUUGGGAGGAAGAGUUGUAGGCUAAUACCUUGCAAUUUUGACGUUACCAACAGAAUAAGCACCGGCCAACUCUGUGCCAGCAGCCGCGGUAAUACAGAGGGUGCAAGCGUUAAUCGGAAUUACUGGGCGUAAAGCGCGCGUAGGUGGUUCAGUAAGAUGGAAGUGAAAUCCCCGGGCUUAACCUGGGAACUGCUUUCAAAACUGACGAGCUAGAGUACGGUAGAGGGUGGUGGAAUUUCCUGUGUAGCGGUGAAAUGCGUAGAUAUAGGAAGGAACAUCAGUGGCGAAGGCGACUACCUGGACUGAUACUGACACUGAGGUGCGAAAGCGUGGGGAGCAAACAGG
Molecule: ribosomal RNA, 424 nt
Filed under: uncultured bacterium
Lineage: Bacteria
Description: partial 16S ribosomal RNA
Rfam family: Bacterial small subunit ribosomal RNA
Source: RNAcentral